AAACUAAAGCAAUAACAGAAAAUGCUUUUAAAAUAGUGUAUCUUCAAUGUUUAAGAAAACAGUUUCAAAAGGAAAUGACUAGCUAUAAUGAAUCAUUUCUGAAAGCCUUGAAAGGGUAACUAGAAUACUGGUCCUAUCAAUAAAGAAUUCUGUGUCUUAUAAUUUCAGGGAAAAAAAAAGUUCAUAUAGAAUACUCCAAGGGUAUGAAAGGUUCUAAGUAAUUAAAACAAUUUAGCUAUCUUUUAGAACUUUCCUAACUUUUCUGGCAAAGAAACCACAGAGGAUGACUAAUGUUUUCAGAAAGAAUUCUCGAAACAGUUGGAAGGGUCAGUACAUUGACGCAUACUGCGGGAGGGGAGAGUCAUCGGCAAAGGCUCUCUGGAGGCCCUAACACACGUGAAAACGGAAGCACAGGAGACAGAAGAGCACUUACACGAGACUGAACAUCAUAUUAUAUCAGCAGAGAUCUGAAAAGUUUUACAAUGCUUAUGCGAAAGAUUUGCUUUCUAAUAUCUAUGACAAUAAGCAUAUCUUUACAACACCCUCUCAACUCCUGAUAAACGGAUCGAGUUUCUACUAUGGCAACACCUGGUGAGGUAUUUUAUUAUUCUACAAAUAGUGUUUAAAAACUAGAACAUCACUGUCCAACAGAACCUUCUGUGACAAAGGAAAUGUUCUAUACUGACGCUAUGGUAAUUCAGGAAUUUAAAUAGGACUACUGGAAAUGACGAACUGAAUUUUAACUUGUAAUAACUACACAUGACUAGUUGCUACAAUAAUAGUUUAUGUCCACAGUCACUUGGACAUAAACUAUUAUUAUAAUGAAGAUAUUAAAUUAAGAUAUUAAAACAUGUCCAUGAGAAAACUAUGAGCUUAUGAGAAACUAAAGAUAAUAUGACAGCAUUUUCAUAAUCCAUGUACAUCGCAAGAUUCAUAUUUCACACAGACAUGCAUAUUUUUUAACGUUCAGAUAGCUGAAAAGAGCCCAUUAUGGAAACUAGUCAAGAAAAUGCGAGUAAUGGAUUACAUGAAAUGUGACUUACACCAUGUACAGGAAGUUAACCAGUGGACAAAAAUAAAGUACAGUAAGAAAUACCAUGUAAGUGCCAUGAGGGAAACGAC
Molecule: long non-coding RNA, 1122 nt
Filed under: Chinchilla lanigera (long-tailed chinchilla)
Lineage: Eukaryota; Metazoa; Chordata; Mammalia; Rodentia; Chinchillidae
Description: lncRNA (ENSCLAG00000024621.1)
Source: RNAcentral